RNAcentral lists this ribosomal RNA (492 nucleotides) under uncultured bacterium. RNAcentral's name for it is "partial 16S ribosomal RNA". It matches the Rfam family "Bacterial small subunit ribosomal RNA", at positions 29 to 507 of the family's 1533-position model. The record is from RNAcentral.
AGUGAACGCUGGCGGUAGGCCUAACACAUGCAAGUCGAACGGCAGCACAGUAAGAGCUUGCUCUUACGGGUGGCGGGUGGCGGACGGGUGAGGAAUACAUCGGAAUCUACUUUUUCGUGGGGGAUAACGUAGGGAAACUUACGCUAAUACCGCAUACGACCUACGGGUGAAAGCAGGGGAUCUUCGGACCUUGGGCGAUUGAAUGAGUCGAUGUCGGAUUAGCUAGUUGGCGGGGUAAAGGCCCACCAAGGCGACGAUCCGUAGCUGGUCUGAGAGGAUGAUCAGCCACACUGGAACUGAGACACGGUCCAGACUCCUACGGGAGGCAGCAGUGGGGAAUAUUGGACAAUGGGCGCAAGCCUGGUCCAGCCAUACCGCGUGGGUGAAGAAGGCCUUCGGGUUGUAAAGCCCUUUUGUUGGGAAAGAAAAGCAGCAGGUUAAUACCCCGCUGUUCCGACGGUACCCAAAGAAUAAGCACCGGCUAACUUCGUG